CACGUAGGGGACGAGCGUUGUCCGGAAUUACUGGGCGUAAAGGGCGCGUAGGCGGUGCAGCAAGUCAGCUGUGAAAUGUCUGGGCUCAACUCGGGCAUGCGGUUGAGACUGUUGUGCUGGAGUGCUGUAGAGGCAAGUGGAAUUCCCAGUGUAGCGGUGAAAUGCGUAGAUAUUGGGAGGAACACCGGUGGCGAAGGCGACUUGCUGGGCAGCAACUGACGCUGAGGCGCGAAGGCCAGGGGAGCAAACAGG
Molecule: ribosomal RNA, 252 nt
Filed under: uncultured bacterium
Lineage: Bacteria
Description: partial 16S ribosomal RNA
Rfam family: Bacterial small subunit ribosomal RNA
Source: RNAcentral